AGUGAACGCUGGCGGUAGGCCUAACACAUGCAAGUCGAACGGCAGCACAGUAAGAGCUUGCUCUUACGGGUGGCGAGUGGCGGACGGGUGAGGAAUACAUCGGAAUCUACUUUUUCGUGGGGGAUAACGUAGGGAAACUUACGCUAAUACCGCAUACGACCUACGGGUGAAAGCAGGGGAUCUUCGGACCUUGCGCGAUUGAAUGAGCCGAUGUCGGAUUAGCUAGUUGGCGGGGUAAAGGCCCACCAAGGCGACGAUCCGUAGCUGGUCUGAGAGGAUGAUCAGCCACACUGGACCUGAGACACGGUCCAGCCUCCUACGGGAGGCAGCAGUGGGGAAUAUUGGACAAUGGGCGCAAGCCUGAUCCAGCCAUACCGCGUGGGUGAAGAAGGCCUUCGGGUUGUAAAGCCCUCUUGUUGGGAAAGAAAAGCAGCAGGUUAAUACCCCGCUGUUCUGACGGUACCCAAAGAAUAAGCACCGGCUAACUUCGU
Molecule: ribosomal RNA, 491 nt
Filed under: uncultured bacterium
Lineage: Bacteria
Description: partial 16S ribosomal RNA
Rfam family: Bacterial small subunit ribosomal RNA
Source: RNAcentral